Callithrix jacchus (white-tufted-ear marmoset) is the source of this 306-nucleotide unclassified non-coding RNA. It matches the Rfam family "Metazoan signal recognition particle RNA". Rfam says of the family: The signal recognition particle (SRP) is a universally conserved ribonucleoprotein. It is involved in the co-translational targeting of proteins to membranes. The record is from Ensembl. NCBI's taxonomy places the organism in Eukaryota, Metazoa, Chordata, Mammalia, Primates, Cebidae.
GCCAGGUGUGGUGGCACAUGCCUGUAAUCCCAGCUACUCGGGAGGCUGAAGUGGGAGGAUCACUUGAGCCCAGAAGUUCUGGGCUGUAGUGCGCUAUGCCGAUCGGGUGUCCACACUAAGUUUGGAAUCAAUAUCGUGACCUCCUGGGAGCGGGAGCGGGGGACCACCAGGUUGCCUAAGGAGGGGUGAACUGGCCCAGGUCGGAAAUGGAGCAGCUCAAAACUCCUGUGGUGAUCAGUAGUUGAAUCAUGCCUGUGAAUAGCCACUGCACUCCAGCCUGGGCAACACAGCGAGACCCUGUCUCUU